AAUGGCUCAUUAUAACAGCUAUAAUUUACUUGAUCUUGACACAAUCCUACUUGGAUAACUGUGGUAAUUCUAGAGCUAAUACAUGCAUUAAAGCUCCGACCUCACGGGAAGAGUGCAUUUAUUAGAACAAAACCAAGCGGCUUCGGCUGUUUCUGGUUGACUCAUAGUAACUGAGCUGAUCGCAUGGUCUUGCACCGGCGACGUGUCUUUCAAGUAUCUGCCGUAUCAACUUUCGAUGGUAGUGUAUCUGACUACCAUGGUGAUCACGCGUAACGGAGAAUAAGGGUUCGGCUCCGGAGAGUUCGCCUGAGAAAUCGCGAACACAUCUAAGGAAGGCAGCAGGCGCGAAAAUUACCCACUCUCAGCACGAGGAGGUAGUGACGAAAAAUAACGAGACCGUUCUCUCAUGAGGCCGGUCAUCGGAAUGGGUACAAUUUAAACCCUUUAACGAGUAUCUAUGAGAGGGCAAGUCUGGUGCCAGCAGCCGCGGUAAUUCCAGCUCUCAAAGUGCAUAGAAUUAUUGCUGCGGUUAAAAAGCUCGUAGUUGGAUCUGUGCCAUAGGACUGGGUCCACCUUCGGGUGCGUACUCAGCUCCUAGGCUUUUUGCUGGUUUUCCCGUCGUAGCCUUCACUGGUUGCGGCGGGUGGCUGGCGAGUUUACUUUGAGAAAAAUCAGAGUGCUCAAUACAGGCGUAUCGCUUGAAUGAUUGUGCAUGGAAUAAUAGAAAAGGGAUUUCGGUCCUCUUUUAUUGGUUUUGUGGACUGAGAUAAUGGUUAACAGGGACAAACGGGGGCAUUCGUAUCGCUGCGUGAGAGGUGAAAUUCUUGGACCGUAGCGAGACGCCCUACUGCG
RNAcentral lists this ribosomal RNA (852 nucleotides) under Cervidellus sp. 2 GVDU-2019. Its description in RNAcentral is "SSU rRNA". It matches the Rfam family "Eukaryotic small subunit ribosomal RNA", at positions 92 to 947 of the family's 1831-position model. The record is from RNAcentral. Lineage: Eukaryota; Metazoa; Nematoda; Chromadorea; Rhabditida; Cephalobidae.